UUGAAAGGGAAACGAUUGAAGUCAGUCGUACCAGCGGGAAAUCAACCUUUCGAGUGGGGUUUUGGAGUUUUGAAGAGUGUCAAAACCUUUGAGAUUUCAAAAUUUUCGCUCCUUUGGUGUACUUUCUCGUGGGUAGGUUAACAUCGAUUUCGAUCAUCAUAAAAGGAUUGGAGGAAUGUAGCUUCGAUCUUGUAUUGAAGUGUUAUAGCCUUUGGUAAAUGUGAUGAUUGGGAUCGAGGAUUGCAACGAAUACCCUUUUGGGCUAUCCGCCUGAUCUCUGAUACGUGGCCUUGGCAUCGAAAGCCUGCUUAUGGUAUCAAGGUAUUACGGUCAAAAGGUUAGAACGGAUUACAUUCGUUAAGGAUGUUGACGUA
RNAcentral lists this ribosomal RNA (374 nucleotides) under uncultured Glomeromycotina. RNAcentral's name for it is "LSU rRNA". The record is from RNAcentral. Lineage: Eukaryota; Fungi; Glomeromycota.